Non-coding RNA from Gelatoporia subvermispora B, 88 nucleotides. The record is from the annotation of a GenBank genome assembly. Lineage: Eukaryota; Fungi; Basidiomycota; Agaricomycetes; Polyporales; Gelatoporiaceae.
GGACCCUUGGCGCAGCGGUAGCGCGUAAGAUUCCAGCUUACGUAAGCUUGUUUCCUUAAGGUCAUCCGUUCAAAUCGGGUAGGGUUCA